Molecule: long non-coding RNA, 1308 nt
Organism: Zeugodacus cucurbitae (melon fly)
Lineage: Eukaryota; Metazoa; Arthropoda; Insecta; Diptera; Tephritidae
Exons: 2
Source: RefSeq, a predicted model, not a curated record
GAACAAAAAUAAAUAAUAUUUACCAAAUAUUUGAAGGGAAUUAACAAACGCCAUAAUAGUUAAAACUAACUACAAUUAUUCCGUAUUAGUUGAAACAAAUAAAAAUACCUCACUGAAGUGAGAGCAGUUCUACUAUAUAAGGUACUAGCUGACUCCGCAGUCGUUGCACUGCGUGAAAUUAUUUGUUUUGAAAACAAAGUUGAAUUUGUAUAGUGUUGGAAAACAUUUAUUUGCGAUUUUUCUAAUUUUAUUUUUCAAUGUAACUCAGCUUAAUAAAUAACAUUUUUUGUGUUCUGUUCCGGUGCAUAAAUGUACAGAGAAGAUGAUUUUUCAACUCGUGAAUGAAAUUUAUGCCACACAUCCAGCGACUGUCUUUGAGACUUGUUUAUUGUCAUCCCAAAUGCAAGUCUCAUUGGAAACUGAAUACGUUUGAACCGAAAUGGCAAAUCGUUGGAACUCAAAGAAAUUCGUGGAAUCAAGCAUUCUGCCACCUUCUUCGUCUUCAUUUUCAACAUGAUCGAUCGAUGUGUAUGAACACCGGAAGUUGACUUUAAGUCGUAAAGAUUAAAUCAUCGACAUCGGUAUUUUUGCCAGUUAAAAAUCUGCGUGCACUCAACCAAUCGUAGUUACGAUAAAUUUGGCUAAUGUUCGGAUUGAUAUCAAACCAUUAGAAGUAUUAACCAGAAUUUGCCCAGUUAUUUGCAAAUCUUUUGCGGAGCUUUCCUGUUGCAGGAACACACGCAUAUUCAUGGUCAAUAAUAUGGUUUUCGCGUGCCGCCACAAGUACGAUGACUUCGAUUGAUUUCGAAAUAACAGCAUGUGUUUGUCAAUAAUAGUAUCAUUACGCCACCAAAGCGACGAUUAUUAUUCCACGAUGUUUCAUAGAUUUGCAUGUUUAACUGAAGCUACAAUGUCGAAUGUGCCGUUUCUCCAACUUCAAGUAGCGUUGCUGCAAUUCCAGUAGAUGCGAGAGCCAACGUAAUGCCAAAAUCAAUGAUAUCAGAAUCAAUCAGGAUUCCCAGUUCCACCGUGCGUAUCAAGAAAUAAAAGUCCACCAUUUCCAUCAUUGACAGCCUUAAUCAAUUCAUCAUAGGUCGUCUUUUGCUGCUCAUUAAAUAAUGGAACAUUUCUUUAUACUUGUUGUUCCAAAGUUAUUCUGUCGUAUGCACGAUUCAGUACAUCUCUAAUUUGACGAUUUGGUGAUGGCAUAUGAAUUUCAAUGCUUCAUUGUAGAUUUCACCGCUCAUUUGCAAUUCUGAAUUCUCUGUUGCCACUUGCCAAUUUCCGACUUUUCAGAAUUGUUUUUUU